Molecule: ribosomal RNA, 464 nt
Filed under: uncultured Klebsiella sp.
Lineage: Bacteria; Pseudomonadati; Pseudomonadota; Gammaproteobacteria; Enterobacterales; Enterobacteriaceae
Description: bacterial SSU rRNA
Rfam family: Bacterial small subunit ribosomal RNA
Source: RNAcentral
CCUACGGGAGGCAGCAGUGGGGAAUAUUGCACAAUGGGCGCAAGCCUGAUGCAGCCAUGCCGCGUGUGUGAAGAAGGCCUUCGGGUUGUAAAGCACUUUCAGCGGGGAGGAAGGCGUUAAGGUUAAUAACCUUGUCGAUUGACGUUACCCGCAGAAGAAGCACCGGCUAACUCCGUGCCAGCAGCCGCGGUAAUACGGAGGGUGCAAGCGUUAAUCGGAAUUACUGGGCGUAAAGCGCACGCAGGCGGUCUGUCAAGUCGGAUGUGAAAUCCCCGGGCUCAACCUGGGAACUGCAUUCGAAACUGGCAGGCUAGAGUCUUGUAGAGGGGGGAAGAAUGCCAGGUGUAGCGGUGAAAGGCGUAGAGAUCGGGAGGAAUACCGGGGCGAAGGCGGCCCCCUGGACAAAGACUGACGCUCAGGUGCGAAAGCGUGGGGAGCAAACAGGAUUAGAUACCCGGGUAGUC